Cariama cristata (Red-legged seriema) is the source of this 816-nucleotide long non-coding RNA. RefSeq lists it as uncharacterized. The transcript is spliced from 3 exons. The record is from RefSeq and is a predicted model, not a curated record. Lineage: Eukaryota; Metazoa; Chordata; Aves; Cariamiformes; Cariamidae.
UUGAAGUGUGUAAAAUAGGGCAAUUAAGCUGUUGAGGCCUUUUUAAAAUUGUAAGGGAGUGAACUGAUGCUACAGUUGGGUGACCAUGAGUAUAGAUUCUUGCUUUGUAGAAGGUUGCAUAACGUGUAUGGUGUACAACUCUAAGAACAACAUUGCUUCUUCAAUUCAUUAAUAUUGUGUCUUCACAGAUACGGCUUCCAUGUUACCAAAGCUUCAUAUUUCAUCUGCCACGAUCCUAAAGUUAUUCAACAGCUUUUUGACAACCUUAGAAAUUUUGAUGGAAAAAACACAUACCCAAAAUCUUGCGGUAGAUUUAAAGUUUCUGGAAUAAGGGAUCUGACUACUGGGUAUGACAGCAGCCAGCCAGAUCAAAAGGCUAUUCUUCCUACUAGUAAAAGUAGCCAAAUGAUAACAUUCACUUUUGCUAAUGGAGGAGUGGCCACAAUGAGAACCAGUGGGACAGAACCAAAGAUCAAAUACUAUUCUGAACUUUGUGCACCUCCUGGAAACAGUGACAUUGAACAGCUGAAGAAGGAACUAGAUGAAUUGGUCAACGCUCUUGAAAAACACUUCUUUCAACCAGAAAAAAAUAAUCUUCAACGGAAGACUGAGUAAAAGAGCAAAAUUACUACCUUAAUUGGUUUUUGCAGCAUUAGAAGUGCAUUAUUUAAGAAGUAAGGAUUUUUAGGACCAAACAUCUAAGAACUCAGACUGAAAAGACUUCUGCUUUUAUUAAGAGUUAUUCUGGGUACUCUUGGAUCUAGUAUCUUAUUUUGGAAGGAAAGUACCUUUACACUUAAAGGACCAAAAAAACCC